AGGAAAAAUAUGGUAAAUGCGAAGUCACCGAUAAAGUAUUACUUGCACUGGCCUUCGCGUUCUUCCUCGCCUGCGUGUUUUACAUUUCACAAAAGAGACUGUUCUGAAAGCCUUUUGUAUGUGAUAUUAAUGAAAUGGACUGAUCAUUUACGGUGAUAUCGCGACUGUAACAUAUUGCGCAGGAAUUCUCACGAUAAAUGACAUAGAGAAUGUAUGUACUAUUUAAGAGGAGAAAUCGGAACUUGUCUACUUGGAUGUUAACUGCGGGCUGGAUGGUCUACGCGUCCUGCACCAUCUCAUAAAUCGCGAAUAUUAUAACCAACAUUUCGCGCUUCGUGAUACAACCGUCUCCAUCAAAUCGUAGAAUCUGAUGAAAAGUUGCGCUCGAAAAUGAACCUGGAAUCAGACAAUCCGUUACUAACAGCGAUUACUGCUUACCCAAAUAUCCAAGAGAGCUGAUCGACCAUGCCGUUCACGAUCGAUGCUGU
This 488-nucleotide unclassified non-coding RNA is filed under the name Harpegnathos saltator (Jerdon's jumping ant). RNAcentral describes it as "uncharacterized LOC112589707, transcript variant X1". Lineage: Eukaryota; Metazoa; Arthropoda; Insecta; Hymenoptera; Formicidae. The record is from RNAcentral.